Molecule: non-coding RNA, 6356 nt
Organism: Cinara cedri
Lineage: Eukaryota; Metazoa; Arthropoda; Insecta; Hemiptera; Aphididae
Source: the annotation of a GenBank genome assembly
AGAUAAAAUAUGCAUUACAAAAAAAAAAAAAAAUUCCGACAAAAUGUUUACAAUAUUUCAUAAAAUAUAUGUACAUAUACAGAAAAACAAAAUCGUAACAAUAUACAUGAUUCGGAGUAUACAAUAAUAAUAUUUUCAGGCUUAUAUAAUUAUUUGAAGAAAUAAUAAUAAUAAUAAUAGCAAUAUAGGUAUAAUGAAUAUAAUUUUAUGAUAUCGAACAUUUAUAUGAAAUGACACAUUUUUUUUUUUUUAGUGAUAUAAUAAUAUAAUAUAACAAUAGGAGACAAGGAGACAAUUUUCUCAAACAGUUUUUCGCAAAAGUUAAUUUUAUAAAUAUUUCCACAUUAAUUUCCGAUUUGUCAUUUUCCAAAAUACCAUAUUUCCCUAAUAGUCAGUUAUCCCAAUAUGAAUUUAAUAUUUUCCACAUCGACGUAUUUAGGUUUUUUUGUUAAAUUUAAUUUUGUCUUAUGUAAUUUACCCGCCCUCCUCUUUAUUUUGCGAUAUUUUGUUAUAGUAUACGAAUAUUCUACAAAAAAAAAAAAAAAAUAAUAAUAAAAUUGGAUUGUAAAUAUUAAUAAUUGAUUGGAAAAUAGUAAAAUCGGGAGAAUUUAAUUGGGAAACUGACAUAAUAGAGUGUAUCGAUGAUCACAUAUAUAUAUAUAUAUAUAUAUAUAGAUACACUAAACGAUAUUGUUUCAUUUGGUGUCACAAAAGGCGAUAGGAUAAUAACAUUAUAAUAAUAUCAGCUAUUAAUUUCGUAUUUCCACUCCAGGAUUAGUUCCUUGUUUUUUUUUUUUAUAACGAUUGUGAAACCUUAAUAGGAAAAUAAAACGUAAUAAACAUCGAUGCACAUUCCACGGACAUAACAAUAUUGCAUUUUAAAUCGUGUAUUAUGCAAUAUUGAAAUCGUGAAUAUGAAUGUUAACAUUAUAUUAUAAUUGAAUAUUUAUAGCUCAGACAUUGAUCAGUUAUCGACGUGUGUUAUUUUUUAUUCAUGUAUAUUUAUAGGAUAUAUAAAUUAUGUACAUAUUUACAAUUGAAUAAAAUCUGUACAUCGUUUUCACGCAAAACAAUUUAAUAUUAUUAUUACAAUAUAUUUUAUUUUAAUUUGAACAAAAAUGCAAUUUCUUACAUAAAAAGCACGAGGUUAGGUGGCAAGGGGUCCGGGAAAUACACGGACUAUUAAAACCUUUUAGACGAUUCAUGAUACAUUCGGAAUUAUAUUUACAGUGUGCGAUAAUUAAUUUCGAUUGUUUUUUUUUUUUUGGUCUAUCAUGAUGAAAUCUCAUGUAAAAUAAUUUUAAAAAUUGUUUUUCUCAUUUCCUUAUAUACAGAUAUAUUAUUGUAAAUAUGUUUUAAUUUUUUUAAUUUUAAUCCAACAACUGGUUAUAAAUGUAUGUAAACACGAUUUAUUGAUAAACCGAGAUAUAUUAUUGCAGUAUAAUGAUUCAAAAUAUUAUCGCCAAAUAAUCAAUAACUUCAUUUACACACGGCUGCUUAUCGCUCUGCAUUACAUAAACACGAGAUAGAAUGUCACUAACGGUUACUAUAUUAUUCGGAAAUUCGAAUUUGAUAUCGUUUUGAAAUUUUUCACGAAAUGGUAGUGUAAUUAUGUAAAUAUCGUCAAAAAGAUUCUUAAUCGAUUUUAUAAUAACUAGAAAAUAACCCCGAAAAAUAAAAUUUAAGUACAAUUUUUGUUGAUGAUAUUAUAAGUAGUAGGUAGUUCAAGAAAGAUGAAAAAAAAAAUAUCACCGUAUAUUAUACAGGUAUAAAUAUAUUCUACGUUUCAGCGACUCUAUCGUUUAUUUACGAAAAUGUCAAGCAAAUUUGAAUUUUUAUUUUCUUCAGUCAUUUAAGGAAUUUCAUUUUAACUUCUAUAUUUUCAAUAUUUACCAUUUUUCACCAAAACAUAUUUCACAUUUUCACAUUUGUUCGAAGGAUUUGAAAAACGAAAAUGUUUGCUAAAAAUGUCGAUCUUAUAAUACAAAUUUUGGCCGAAAGUAUGGAAAAGGAUAAAUGUAUGCUUAUCUGAUCAAAUAUUAGGAACAAGUAUAUUUGAAAAUCAAUGUUUGAUAUUUAUGUGCGUUUUGGCGUACAUCGCACUCGUAUAUAAUGAUGAAAUCUCGAAAAUAUUGUGAACUAGACGGUUGCACGACUCGUUAAUAACUGAUGGACAAAAAUUAAAAUCAGAUUAAUUAUCGUAGACAAUAAUCGCUGAUUGUUAGAAAUAAUAAUAAUAAUAAUAAUAAAAAAACCUUACUGUAUAUAAAAUAUAUGGCUAAUUAAUACUAAUCUUGAAUACAACACUAUUAUUAGUCUUUGCUAAUCGUUAUAAUUUCCGUACAAUUAGCAAAUAAUUGUACUAUUACCAUUGAUUUGUUCCAACACAGAAUUCGGAAAUAGAUGUUGACCAAUCAGUGAUUGAUUUGUUGCGCAUACGCUACCGUGGUCUGAUCAUGAUGAACAGAUGACAAAUUCGAAUGCAAAUUCCAUUGAUAAAAAUAUCAAAUAUAUGAUUCCGGAGUCUCUCACUACCAGUUUCUCAUCCAAAUCCGCGGAUUAUUUCGGCUAUCAGAAACCGAUCCUUAAACUGGUCUAAUACUUAAUGUGACGGAAGUUGGAACAAUUGUUGGACAGUUUGAGUGUGCCUUCCUGACGCGUUGGAACGGCAAAACUCUACUGCGUAUGCGCCCCUAGCGGGUUCUGUGAUAGUUUAACCAUGUGUUAAAACAAGCCUGACAAAUAUUGUAUUAUAAACCGAUUUUAUAUAAUAUGUAAAAGCAAGUAUGGUAAUAAUUGUAUUAAUUACUCUGAUAAAUACGGUUUAUGCGCCCGAUCGGCAAGUGGCAAUUUUUAAGAUGAUAUUAUUACGAUUAUAUUUGUACCGAGGAUCGCAUUAAUCGCAACGGAAAUAAUAUAACGAUUUCGUUUCGAUCGGAAAAUGUACUAUGAAAAAUGCGAACAUCAUUAAUCAUAAUUUUUAUACGCACGACGACGACGACAGCGGCGGCGGUACCAUUGCUGUAAUUUUGACAAAACAUUUUAAUUAGUCGAAUAUAAAUAAAAUAAAUAAACGGUUUUUUUUUUUACCAUAAUUUAACUAUCAUCUAUGUCUACGAAGAUUUUCAGUAAAAUAUAUUGAUUAUAGAAUCAUCUUUAUAUAUUCAAAAUGGCACCUUUUUCUAUACAUGGUAUACACCGCACACCUAUUAAUUCUCUUGACCAUAAAAUUGCAAACAACUGCUCUUUCCCUUUCAAAACCAUAUUCGAAGGGAGAAUAUUUAGAUGUUCGAAUAUUGAUAAUAUGAAAAACAUUAAUAUGGGAUAUAGGCCGUUUAUAAGUUGCAACAGUUUAAAUUUGAUUCCACUUUAGUGUACAGUUAUUAUCUAACGAUGAAUAUAAAAUUAAUUACCCUUCUUUACUCAUUCUGUCGAUAUUCUAAACUGUUAUAAUUUAGAAACUGUACAUUGGAUACUAGUGUUAUGCAUAUUGACGGUUUUAGAAAAAAUAUAUUUUUUUUUUCGAAUCUGUAUUGCAAAUUGGGAGGGGGAAGUUAAUAUUUGAAAAUCAAAAGUUGAUCAUGUAUGUAUUGUCCAUGUAAAAAUUAUGGAUAGCAAGUUUAAAAAUAGCGUUGAAAUAAAGCCGAAACAAUUCUUUAAAAUUCAAGAAUCUGAAAAAAUCGCUGUAUCACCGACACACAAAAAAAAAAAAAAACAUAUUUUAUAUCACACUGUUUAAUAAUAUUAUGAUUUAGAGAAUUAUAUUUUUUUUUUGUUUGAAAAACACAUGGUUACAAUAAUUCCAGUAUAACCGAAUUCCCUAUACCUAUACGCAUCAUCUUGCGACCUCACCGACAUACCGUGUUCGACCGAUCGAAAACGUGACGGAAUAAUAUUAUACCUACGCUCCUGACAACGAUUAGUCAAUUGACUCUAUUCGAUUUAAUAACAUAAUAUUGAGUUUAACAGUCGGUUGGUUAGCCGUUUAUUUGUUUAUUUAUUUUUUCUUUUCGAACAUGACGUGCACCGAACUAAUUAAUGACGUCUUAGUAAUGCGAAAUAAAUGAAAGUGUACGAGAAAAUUGCCUGGACGUUCGUAUUAAAAAGUAUAAUAAUAAUAGUACUGCCACAUUAUAUGCUCACAACGAAGAGAAAAGUUAUUAUUAUUAUUAUUUUCGUUUGCCAACGAUAAUUUCUUAUUUAUUGUUUCGUCCUCGAGGCGAACUAAGUUCAAAUAAACCACCCCCGAGCGGUUUCGGAAAUAUAUUUUGAAAUAAAAAAGACAGAUCGAUUUUGCAGUCGACGUAGAUUUUUAUCGAAAACAAUAAUAUACCUACUACAAUUGAUACGGUUCAAUGAUGGUUUUCGAUUAAAAUAAUAUAGGAACGGUGGCUGAGUUGAUUAUUUUCCUACGGGAUUACGGUAUUCUUAUGUAUUACGAUAAUUAAUUUAAAUCGAUAAAAUACUUAGGCAUAUUAGUUUAUAUGUAGGUUCUAUUUAUAUUGUCUAGAAAGUAAAAUAACAAAUUACAAACAUACCCUUAGAUCAGCGGUUCUCAACCUUUGGUACGUGGAAAGCUUGUACGUGGCACGAGAAGAAAUGUUUUAAUAAACGAAAAAAAAAAAAUGUUAUUAGUUACAAAUUUAUAAAGUAGUUCAUUAAUUCAUAAAUAAUAGCAAAAAUAAUAACUGUACGCAUUUUAUACAGUUUUAAUUUUAUUUUUAUGUUUGUGUUAAAUACUUAUAAUAUAAUAAGGUAGCUGACGAGGCAUAUCCCACAGGAGGUAUGCAGUUGAAAGCGGUAUACACCAAGAGUGCAAAUGGUAUUGGUUAACCCACGCAAUAUUCAUUUAUGCCAUGACAUAUAUCGCGAUGAUACAAAAUCAAUAUUUGUUAUUAAUUUCAAUUAUUUUUAACAUAUAAUUCACGACAUAAAAAAAUAUUAUAUGGAUUAUAACCAUUAAAUUUUGCAUGGUUUUUAUAUAUUACCGCCAAGCUUUAGAUUUAAUCAUAAUAAUAUACAGUCGGCUGUCCAGCUGUUUUAAAUAUCCUUGAACAAAUGAACACGCAUAACAUUAUAUGUUAUAUUGAAUGCCUUCGUGUAUUAAUCUACGUAAAAUUUGAUCAAAUAUAUUGAUGUUAAUACUGUGUUGGGUUUUAGCUGUGUUCUUUUUUUUUUUUAUUAAAACUGUAGGUACCUGACCAUAUAAUGCAUCUCCAAUAAAUAUAUAGAAUUACUAGCUAUAGUAUAGAUACUCGCGUUACUUCGAAAACACAGCCCACACAUACCGUAGAACAUUGAUAAUAUAUUUGGAAACGAUUUAUUAUUAUUUAUUAUUAUUAGGAAAAGUACCUAAUAAUAAUAUCAUAUAAACUCUAUACAAAUGGAGACGGUACCUAUAAUUAAAAAAAUAAGUAUAUACGCACAAAUAAAAUCAAUAAACAUCCUAAAAUACCAGUGUAAAAAGAAUGUUAGGGCCUUAGGGGUAGGUAUACCUUCACAAUGAAACUGAAAUCUUCUAUCCCCCAAACUUAUUAAACGGUACCUAUAUACACCAACACUAUUUCCAUACGAACAGCACAAAACGCACAAACUUCAAACGAUUUUAAGACCAUGCAGUAAACUUUGUAAUAUUAUGUGUGUUAUGUGUAGUAUACUUGUAUUAUUAUGUAUUAUUAUAUGCGUUAGAUACCGUUGUCGGAUACUAGUCAUGAAUUCCUACAUUGCAAAAGAAAAUUCAUUAAUUUCCGAGUUUUUUUUUCCAUAUAAAUCCAAAACCGUGACACCAAUUACAUGAUUUUAUUUCGUAGUGUUUUCUAUUAUAUAUUACUUUAUAUACUUUAUAUGCUUCGAAAUUGCGUUCUUAAAAAUGUUGACUUCAUUAAAACACUAUAUAAUAUAACGACUAAAUGCGAUGAAAUUAAUCGAAAUUGAUAAUAUUAACAUUUUUUUAGCACGUUUAUACAUAUCUGUUGUGCUGGGCUUCCGGCAGUUUUUACCUCGUGGUAAUCCAGAAAAACAAAAAUCCACGAAAGAAGUAAAAAAAUUGUCUGAUACACCCGACACAAUUUUGCACAAAAAUCGAUGAUUAUUUUUGAUCAAUUUCUGACACGAGUCUGCAAAGUGAAUGAAAUUGGUUGUAGCCCUCAGAUGAAGCAAUAUUGGGCAUUGUUACAUUUGAAGUUAUGCUCUAUGACUUCGUUGUUGAACUGACCCCCAUUCCCAUAUUAAUUGUCCGUUGUUGUGUCAUUAUAACAAAAUAAGUAGUUACUGUUGCCCAAGGGCUUAUACACAUUUUAAAUUUGGUACACAAUACAAAAUUAGAUAAAAACAAUUUACUUACUGUAAUUUAUCAC